UCUGCCCCUACCUCUCUUCUGCCUAGCGCUGGGAAUACUCCCAUCCCGGUGUGCGGGCGCAGCGCGCUGCCCGAGGAGUGCCAUAAGCUGAGCGCCGCGGCCGCAGCCCGGAAUGGGCCGCCUGAUACUACGCUGCGCGGCGCAGGGGUUUUGUUUGCGGUUUUCGGUGUAAAAUCACGACCCGACGACAAACCCAACAGCGUUUCUCACUUCACGCGGUCACAAGCGGUGCUGAAGAGUGCUUAAGGAGGUUUGGACUGUUCCCUGGCAGGGGCCUAGCCUUCUUCCUUGAAUCCAAAUAUCUACACCCGGUCUUAUGCCUGCUGCUUGCCAGUGAUCAGCGUGGUUUAACGAGACGCGUGGUCGUUAUUGGAAAAAACCAAACAACCCAACCCCGAGAAAAACAACACAAAAGCAAAGAAGUAUUUUGUGUGUCCACGUGUUCCCAGAGUGAGCGGCAAAGGAAAGUAGCAGCUGAGUCCGACUGUGCUGUACACACGACGCUGGAAAGGUGAAGCAGCUUACCUUCCUUCUUCCCCGUGAAAGCACACCUGCGCUGUAAGGCUCUUUCACUCUGCAGGAGGAUUGUGGGGACAUUACUGACUGACAUCUGGCACCAGACCUUUGAACACCCUGCAAGGGUGAAAGAGGUCAGAUCAGCAGGAAAGCAGUUCCGUCUUCAGUGAAGGAGAUCUUGAAGGAAGCUACUCACCCUGUGGGUAUACAAGAGGAAUAUUGUCACAGCAGCUGUCAAAUUAAUUCAGGCUUGAAGAGUUGUGCUUGAAGGACCCAGAUGUGAGCCAUAGUCACUCAGCUGGAGACCUUACCUCAUGGUUACUCUUCCAGGGUAAGCAAUGCUGGCUGCCUUGGUGCUCAGUCAUGUGUGGGACAGCCGAUGUACACACUACCCUGCAGCUGAGUUGGUUAGGUUUCCUGGAGCCUACCAAGGAACCUUCAGUGCACCACGUAUGAUGUGGUGUUGGCUGUCACACUCAACAAUUCCCUGUCUGAGAAGCUGCAGAGACAGGAUGAGGCAUAUACACUGGCUCAAUUCUCAAGCACUUUAUAGGAGAUUCCCACAAAAUCUCAGUGAUGGAUGGCAGAGAAAAAAUUUUUCCCUCUGGAGUUAAGAAAGAUGCAUUUAGGAAUUGCUUGGACAAGAACAGAGCUUGAAAGUUUACAAGAGGAUAAUUAUACUAUGUUCCUUACUGAAGCACUGAAGUUUGCCUAAGUCAUCUUAACAGAGAAUAUUUUGUGAUAGAUAAGAGUGCUGCAAAGAGCAAUGGACUCAAGUUUAAAUUGAAGAGUGUCAAAAUAAAAGUAACUUUUAAAUUAAGGUUUAUAUACUGAGCAUGACACCAUAUAGUCUGACCCUGUAGUCGUUUGGGCUUAACUAUCCUGGCUUCCACUCCUUGUGCACCUCCAGCCUCCUCACUGAUGAGAUGGGAUGAGGAGCAGGAAAAGCACAGACUCUGCAUAAGCCCUGAUCAGCAGUAAUUAAAACAUACUUGUUUUAUCAACACUAUUUCCAGCACAAAUCCAAAACAGCCCCAUUCCAGCUAUUGUGAAGAAAACUAAUUUUAUCCUAGCCAAAACUAACACACCUACAUGUUUUUUGUAUUUUACUUACUAAUCUUCUUGGCUUUUUCAGUUUUCUUUAUCUAGAUUUGUUUAGUAAAGUUUCUCAGUUCUCAGCCCUGGAAAUCCCUUUAGAAGGUAUGUUUUCACAAUGACUUAAAUAACUGGAGUCAGAACUGCUGUAAUACCAACCUCAUUUGCUAUGCGAGCCAAAAACUAGCCACUUAACUGUCUGAACGAGGUCACCAUGCAGCUGCACCUGCAGUGAUCCCUGUGAGUGUGAUAAUAGCAGCACUUUGUUACUUAGACUGCUUAAAAAUUGCCAAAACAUUGUUUGGAGAUCUUUCUCCACUUCCAUGUGAGAGAAGGACUUUUCUUUCACAUCAGAACUUCUUCAUAUUGCAUCUUUAACCAAGUCCUUCUUUCCCAGAUGUCACAGUAAAGUAUAGAUGACAUUGCUAUCUUAGCAGCAUUUUAUACUGUAAGUAAAACUGACUUCUGGUAUGCACAGCUUUCAGUCUGCAUCAAGAAAGAAAUACACAUAAUGCACAACAUUUUAAGGACAGAUGGUCAAAGCCUUUUCUCAUUACAGAAAGCUACCACCUGUGGAAAAAAUCAUAAUUAAAUAUAAAAUAAAGAAUUAAUAUGUUUUUUUUUUUGUGAAGCUGUAUUGCAAGUCUCUGGCACCUCACCAGGGUGUGGGUGAGAAUAUUUAUUGUGCCUAAGGAGUCACUGAUUUACCCCACCCCAGCAGUUUGUGAGUUGUAUUUUUGCUGAUAGACAAGAGACAAUCAAUGCACUGUACAAGACAGCGUCACUGAUAUGCAGUGAACACAAUCACUUUCAAUGUCUUUGUUUUCACGUUAUUUUUCUUUCUAACACUGGUAGGUGUUCACGUUUAUCACAGUAACUCAUGUUUAAGAAAGGACUUAGCACUGUUUUAUUCUUAACAUUUAGAAGUUCUGGAUAAAGAAGAUUUUCCUUUUUAAAGUACUGAAGCCUUCAAUACUGCAUCUAGCAGGUUUUAGUGAGGCAAGAUAGAUGCAAGAAAUAACCUUAAGAUGUAACUAUGCACUAAGUUAUAUUCUUGUUUCUUUGCGGUUUUUGUUCUCUUCAAGGUAGUUCUAAAACGUGUCCUGAAGAGCUCAAAGACCACAACUUGAGAUAGAAUUUCGUAGCAAAGAUUUUCCUUCUCUUGAGUAGCUGUUAAAUGCAGGAGGUAUAGUCUAAGUUUGCUUCUUUCAUUCAUUCUGUAUCCCUACUAUUAUUCCAUUUAAUUUUACAUUCUCUCUUCUACUAAGAAGCCAUCAAUAGCAAUUUAUGUAAAGUAACACAGUCACUUUCCUGUGACUUGAGUCCUUCUGUCUUCUUUCUUGCCUUCUUCGCUUCUCACACUCCUUUUAUUUUUAUCAUAACCAGAAUCCUGUCCUCACUUGGGCCUAACCAACCAGCCAGCUGCAAAGUGCUAAAGACUAGAGAGAUGAGAUUUAGAGAAAAACAACAGUGACAAAAAACCCAGUUAUUUUAUAGAAUUAGUUGAAAGAAAAAUAAAUUGGUUCAGUGCAUUCAGGUCUAGGGGAGAAAAGGUAGUCUGAAUUUUUUAUCAGUUUAGUCUGUGGGCCUCUUUCAGAUUACUCUUGUUAGAAAUCAGUUUAGUUUAGAUCUGUGACUUGCUUGGGUCUUCACAAACAGUUGAUCAGAAGAGGUUAUUCCAAAAGAAUUUUAUGUAAGAUGCAAAGUCUUCUUAGAUUUAAAUGUCAGUUAUCUGCGAGUAAUUAAAGAGCAGGUACAUUUGUAAACUGGAGUGCACAGAAACUGGAAUUAUGGAAGAAAAAGAAAGAGUAGUUUAGAUCUAUUGGUCAAGUUUGACCAACUAAGUAUAGAGAUUUUUUUCAUUUUUUAAUUAUAAAUUUCUGACAUAAUUUGUGUGAUUCCUGAAAAAAUAUGUCAGUAUAUCAUUUAAAUUAUUUUCAAGUUAAAAAUAACACCUUUGGCUGGUACAAGUGUAUGCAUAAAAUUUCUUAACUAUAUGAAUUUAAUUAAAUUGAACAACAAACUGGUUGCUGGACAAGCAUGACUAAGGCUUUACUUAAAACUGCACAUUACAAUCAAGUAAAGUUUUUACAGAUUGCUACCUUGUCUGAACAGAGUAUCUGUACACAAUUGGACCUCUACAGAAACACUGUAUCUCUGCAUUGGCUGAAUAUCUUGCUGAAAAGCUGAAAUGAGUAACAUAAACAAGGGCAUUUAUAUGGUUAUAAUGAACCUUUAAAGUUAACAUGCAUCAGGACAUAUAAGAAAAGUUCACACUUUUCUUUAAAGUACUGUUUUGUUUGCUCUAAGUUACCACAGAUUUGUUGGAAGCAUUAAUUCUCUCCAAAAGCAGCUGCAGGGUAGACCUUAGAUGUCAAAUAAGUGUUAUGUCUAUCACUGUUUCCUUCUCAAUGUUUAGCUAACAAAAGUAUAAAUUGAGUGUAAGCUAUACUUUUCUUUCUCUUCUUAUAUAUUAACUUGAACAAUCAAAAUAUGUCAGGUUCUACAUAUUAGAGGGUUUAAUAUGCCAUAACUCUCCUUUAGAGAUCUGUUAUACCAUUUCUAGGGCAGACUGCCUUUUUCAGGGUUUGCAGCAGUUACAUCAUCCAAGUCUUGUUCAUCUGGCACCUUUCUUGCUUUCCUUGUUUGCUUGGUGGUGUAUCAUAAACUUCUAGAGGUCUCAUUCAUGAUUUAUCUUCCCAAAUUCACAUGGCUGGGCAGCUGGCCUGAUUUGUUAAGCAUUUAUCAGGUACACUUGGCAGGUAGAAUGUCCCAGCAAAAGGCAUUAUAUUGGGCAGGUCUGAUGGAAUAUGCACCCUUGCUUAACGAGCUCCCGUCAUAAGGCACUUCUUGUGAUGUAGGCCCUCCUCUGUGACCAUGUGUUAGCAGGAACCUGUUUUUCAUUUGAUAAGCAUUGUUAUGUAGCCUUAUGCAUAAAAUGCCAAUUCUUUGUAACGCGUCACCGUAGCAUUAGUUUUUCUCAUUUACUGGAAGUUAAGAAACAUAAAGUGGCAUAAUUAUAUAACUAUAUACUAUUAUAUAUGACACUGUAUUUACGCCUGGAAAUUUUGUUUGCAUGCCUAUUUCAGUCACAAGCUUUCCCUGCUCAUAUUCCAAUCUGACAGAGCUUACACUACAAGUGUUUACAAAUGCAGAUGUUCAGAGCUUCCUCUCUGCUACAGGAAGGCCACUCUCAGGCAUCAGCAAACCAUCACAUUUUAUGCUAGUAUUUUCGUUACAUUUGGCCAAAACCUUGAAAACUAUGGCCUUUACACUGGAGUAAUGCAAUUCUCUAACUGGACCAACUGAAAAAAUGUAUUACAUUAGACUUGGUGCAAGUUGUAUUAAGACUGUUUUUUCUCUCUGAGUUGUGGCAGUAUAAUGGGUAGGUCAUGCUAGAAGUUAUACUAAUGAGUAGUCUUCAGUACUUCUAGGUAUAAUUAAGUUUAUAAAGAGUAACAGUUUUCAGUGUCUGAGUAUCUCUCUGAGAAGAGCUAUUAGAGUGUGCAGAAUUCAGCUCAAAGCUUAAGAUUUGUUACCUAAUCCUAAUGCUGUUAAGAAAAAUAGACUAAAGAAUUUGAAGGAAUUAUAUGUGAACAGUUUAUUCCAGUUACUAAAUGCAGAAUAAGAAGGAGUGCUGUCUGAAAGAGGAAUCAUGCUUCUGUUCUUAACAUAUAACAUAUAAAAUAUGAAGGGCUGUUCAGAAAAGACCCGCACUAUAUUGCUGUGUGCAAUAAAACAAAUCAAUUCUUUGAUAGAGAGAGUGAUGGAAAGCAGUGAUUUUGAAGCUGAGAAGAGUUGCAAAAAUGCAGAAUAUAUUUUUCCUUCAAAGUGUUUGUACUGUCAUUCAGAAUUUAAUCCUCAAAAUAUUCCUGCAAGACAGAGUAAAUAAGAAUUAAAAGGAUAAAAUAGUAUCAGAAGAAAAAAAAUGGCUACAAAGUGUUAACUGCAUGUACUUUACAGCAAAACAUUGAUGACAUAAAAGUGUCUCUCUAUCUAUUUUCUCAGGUUGAUUUUUAAAUUAAUUAAAUAAUUCAUUUACUGCUAAUGUAAAUAAAAGAAGGGCAAUGGGACCUCAGAUUUAGGAGGUCUUGUCUAAGACAGAUCAUUAAUGUAUUAAAAAAUAGAUCUCUGCCUCCAGGUCUUACCAACAAGAUCAGGUAAAAAUUCUGAAAUCAUUGAUACCAAGCCUUAAUUCUUCCAAAAGUUUAUAGAAGUUAAUGAUUCUACUAAGAAGGAGAGCUGAGAACUCAGUUUAGUAGGAAGAAACACCUUAGAGACAGGGAUUUGCUACUCAAGGCAGAAGAGAGCUAAGUCAACCCUAAAACUUAAAGAACUGUAAGAGAAAUAUCUUUGCUGUCAGACUAGCAUGUAAGACUCCAUUGUCCAAUCAUACAAGGCAAGGAAGUAUAAGAGGGUUUACAUCAUGUGCUAGAAAAUAUGAAGCUGUAUGUGAGGGCAGAAGCAAAAAAGAUAAAGUUCUGUGAGUUCUUGGCAGUUGUGAACCGUAAAGUUAUAAAGUGUCAUAGACUUUCUUAGAAGGUGUAAUGAGUAACAAGAAAUUCUAAUGUGAGUUUUAACAUUUUCUUUUUUGUUUCAUCUACAGUUUGUAAUUUUAAAUGAGCAGGUUAUUUUUGUCCUUAUAGCUUAUCUGUCAAUGAAACCGAAUCCUUUUAUCUGACUUUUCUGUUUCUUCUUUGUGACAAAUUCCACUACACGUGGUGGGUUGACUUUGGCUGCCUGCUAGACACCCAGAGAGCUGCCUUGUCUUUCCUGAACAUCAGCAGGAUGGGGAGAAAUAUAGAUUAAAUUCAUGGGUCAAGAUAAAGACAGAGAGAAAACCUACUAAGUAACAUCACAGGGGAAACAGAC
This is a long non-coding RNA of Serinus canaria (Common canary), 6483 nucleotides long. RefSeq lists it as uncharacterized. Lineage: Eukaryota; Metazoa; Chordata; Aves; Passeriformes; Fringillidae. The transcript has 2 exons. The record is from RefSeq and is a predicted model, not a curated record.